Molecule: ribosomal RNA, 493 nt
Filed under: uncultured bacterium
Lineage: Bacteria
Description: bacterial SSU rRNA
Rfam family: Bacterial small subunit ribosomal RNA
Source: RNAcentral
GACGAACGCUGGCGGCGUGGAUUAGGCAUGCAAGUCGAACGGUAGGAUACCUUCGGGUAUCUGAGAGUGGCGAACGGGUGAGUAACACGUAGGUGAUCUACCCUCAAGAUUGGGACAACCCAGGGAAACUUGGGCUAAUACCGGAUGAAAGCAGCAGCGAUGUUGUUUGAAAGGUGGCGUAAGCUGCCGUUUGGGGAUGAGCCUGCGCUCUAUUAGUUAGUUGGCGGGGUAAAGGCCCACCAAGGCGAUGAUAGAUAGGCGGCCUUAACGGGUGGUCGCCCACACUGGGAUUGAGAUACGGCCCAGACUCCUACGGGAGGCAGCAGUCGAGAAUAGUCUACAAUGGCCGAAAGGCUGAUAGUGCGACGCCGCGUGAACGAAGAAGCCCUUCGGGGUGUAAAGUUCUUUUAUAUGUGAGCAGUGCUUUCUAUGUGAACAGCAUGGGGAGAGAGAUAUUAGCAUAUGAAUAAGCAACGGCUAACUCCGUGCCAGC